AGCAGCCGCGGUAAUUCCAGCUCCAAUAGCGUAUAUUAAAGUUGUUGCAGUUAAAAAGCUCGUAGUUGAAUUUCGGGAUCAAAGGAUCGGUCAUGCCUUGGUAUGUACUGGUUUUAUUGGUUCUCACCUUCUAAAGAACCAUAAUGUCAUUCAUUUGAUGUUAUGGGGAAUUAGGACUGUUACCUUGAAAAAUUAGAGUGUUUAAAGCAGGCUUACGCUUGAAUACAUUAGCAUGGAAUAAUGAAAUAGGACAUCAGAUUCUAUUUUGUUGGUUUCCAGGAUCGAUGUAAUGAUUAAUAGGGAUAGUUGGGGGCAUUAGUAUUCAAUUGUCAGAGGUGAAAUUCUUGGAUUUAUUGAAGACUAACUACUGCGAAAGCAUUUGCCAAGGAUGUUUUCAUUAAUCAAGAACGAAAGUUAGGGGAUCGAAGACGAUCAGAUACCGUCGUAGUCUUAACCAUAAACUAUGCCGACUAGGGAUCGGAUGAUGUUAAUUUAUAAUGACUCAUUU
RNAcentral lists this unclassified non-coding RNA (508 nucleotides) under uncultured Glomus. Its description in RNAcentral is "SSU rRNA". It matches the Rfam family "Eukaryotic small subunit ribosomal RNA", at positions 569 to 1081 of the family's 1831-position model. The record is from RNAcentral. Lineage: Eukaryota; Fungi; Glomeromycota; Glomeromycetes; Glomerales; Glomeraceae.